GCCAGCAGCAUGGUGUAGUGGUUUGUGCCUUGGACUGUGACUCUGGAGACCAGGGUUCGAAUCCCUGCUCAGGCG
Non-coding RNA from Phrynosoma platyrhinos (Desert horned lizard), 75 nucleotides. The record is from the annotation of a GenBank genome assembly. Lineage: Eukaryota; Metazoa; Chordata; Lepidosauria; Squamata; Phrynosomatidae.